AGAGUUUGAUCCUGGCUCAGAACGAACGCUGGCGGUGUGGAUUAGGCAUGCAAGUCGAACGAUGCUGAGGCCGCAAGGCCGAUGUAUAGUGGCGCAAGGGUGAGUAAUGCAUGGGUAAUUUACCCUACAGCUGGGGAUAACCUGGAGAAAUCCGGGCUAAUACCGAAUGAGACUUUCCAUUCGCAUGGAUGGAAAGUCAAAGGUACCGUUUCGACGGUUCCGCUGAAGGAGGAGCCCAUGUCCUAUUAGCUUGUUGGUGAGGUAAUGGCUCACCAAGGCUAUUGAUGGGUAGCCGGGCUGAGAGGUUGACCGGCCACACUGGGACUGAGACACUGCCCAGACUCCUACGGGAGGCUGCAGUCGAGAAGCUUCCGCAAUGGGCGAAAGCCUGACGGGGCGACGCCGCGUGGAGGAUGAAGGUCCUCGGAUUGUAAACUCCUGUCACAUGGGAAGAAAUCCGCCUCAGGUGGACUGACGGUACCAUGAGAGGAAGCCCUGGCUAACUCCGUGCCAGCAGCCGCGGUAACACGGGGAGGGCGAGCGUUGUUCGGAUUUACUGGGCGUAAAGGGCGUGUAGGUGUCCACGUAAGUCGAGUGUGAAAUCCCUCUGCUCAACGGAGGAACUGCACUCGAUACUGCGGGGAUAGAGUUCAGGAGAGGGGAGCGGAAUUCUCGGUGUAGCGGUGAAAUGCGUAGAUAUCGAGAAGAACACCUGUGGCGAAGGCGGCUCCCCAGCCUGAAACUGACACUGAUCCGCGAAAGCCAGGGGAGCGAACGGGAUUAGAUACCCCGGUAGUCCUGGCCGUAAACGAUGUGCACUUGGUGUCCUUCCGAGAGGUGGGGUGCCGAAGCUAACGCGUUAAGUGCACCGCCUGGGGAGUACGGCCGCAAGGCUGAAACUCAAAGGAAUUGACGGGGGCCCGUACAAGCGGUGGAGCAUGUGGCUCAAUUCGAUGCAACGCGAAGAACCUUACCGGGGCUUGACAUGACGGUCGUAUUCAGCGAAAGCUGAAGUCAGUUCGGCUGGACCGCCACAGGUGUUGCAUGGCUGUCGUCAGCUCGUGUCGUGAGAUGUUGGGUUAAGUCCCGCAACGAGCGCAACCCUCGCCCUUAGUUGCCAGCAUUCAGUUGGGCACUCUAAGGGGACUGCCGGUGAUAAGCCGAGAGGAAGGUGGGGAUGACGUCAAGUCCUCAUGGCCCUUACGGGCUGGGCUACACACGUGCUACAAUGGUGGUGACGGUGGGCAGCGAGACCGCGAGGUCGAGCUAAUCUCCAAAAGCCAUCUCAGUUCGGAUUGCACUCUGCAACUCAAGUGCAUGAAGUUGGAAUCGCUAGUAAUCGCAGAUCAGCAUGCUGCGGUGAAUACGUUCCCGGGCCUUGUACACACCGCCCGUCACACCAUGGGAGUUGGUUUUACCCGAAGGUAGUGCGCUAACCGCAAGGAGGCAGCUAACCACGGUAGGGUCAGCGACUGGGGUGAAGUCGUAACAAGGUAACC
RNAcentral lists this ribosomal RNA (1499 nucleotides) under uncultured bacterium. RNAcentral's name for it is "bacterial SSU rRNA". It matches the Rfam family "Bacterial small subunit ribosomal RNA". The record is from RNAcentral.